Molecule: long non-coding RNA, 613 nt
Organism: Cyprinus carpio (common carp)
Lineage: Eukaryota; Metazoa; Chordata; Actinopteri; Cypriniformes; Cyprinidae
Source: Ensembl
GGAAAAUGAAAACAUUUGGCUUGCAUAACAUAACGCUUGUAUUGACUAUCUUGGCAUCUUUCAUGGUCCAAAUUUGUAGGUAAACUGAUUUAAGGUCAGCAAAGAAAUCUCAGUGAUAAGCCUUAUGGGAUAUAUGGCCUUGCGUGAUAGCAGCGCUCCAGUAAAACCAGUUUUGGCUCUGUGAUCAAUGAUUAAUGUGGCUACAAAGAGGGAAUGUUUAUGACAUCAUUUUCCCCUUUGGAACAUGAAAUGUGUCAGAUGUAAAUGCAAUCAUUUGCCAUUCUAAUUACUCUCUAACCAAUCUCCUUCUCCAUCUCACUGGCAGAGUGAUACAUUGCACCAGCGUUCGCACGGCGGCACAGUCAUUAGGCAAAAGUGGCGGUAAUAUCACAGGCCUGGAAUGUCGGCCCACGUUUUUGGAGCUGCAUGAAAAUGUUUUGGACCACGGCUCCGAAUCUUGCCCGCCACACGUCAUCAAAGCCUUUAAUGUUGGCUGGCUUAGGCGUGCACACUGUAGCAGAUUUCUGGAUCAGUAUUUGAGCACAAUCUGUUGAAUAGCUGAGAGGCGCGAGUGAACGGGGGAGGCGGAGGAGUAAAAUUGAGUGUAAACAGA